CACAAGCAAAGCAAAGCGAAGCCUAAUCGUGUUCGUGUUGGCCAUGGGGUUCAACAGGGCACAGUUGUUUGCCGCCUUCGCCCUGGGCUUGCUCAUCAUGUCCCACGGUGCGGAGGCGUUCAUCCCCGUCCCCGGAUAUGCCACUCCCCAAGCCAUCUUUAUCGUGGCUCAUGCAACAACAGGAAAUGCGUGGAGGUGUGCCACCACGAGCACUUCACCGGCGGCUACUGCUCACGUAAAGGGAUUGUUAAAAGACUUCAUUGUGAAUGUACCAUAAAAUGCGGCCAUCAUAGUCCUCCACCGCCAUCGGAAGUGCCGGAGCCGCCGUCGUCUGAACGGCCACCACCACCACCAAGAGUCAUGUAGGCGAGAAAAGUUUAUGGAGCCAUGAAACACUCACUGAAAGGAUAAUAUUUGCGUCUCCGUGGAAAUAUUCAAUUUGUAAGGAACUGUAUGCAUCAUUGAUCGCAUGAAAAUAAUUUGAAGUGCCGAAGCAAUAAUAAGAAAAACCUCUUUAAUU
Long non-coding RNA from Triticum aestivum (bread wheat), 520 nucleotides. RefSeq lists it as uncharacterized. Lineage: Eukaryota; Viridiplantae; Streptophyta; Magnoliopsida; Poales; Poaceae. The transcript is spliced from 2 exons. The record is from RefSeq and is a predicted model, not a curated record.